Molecule: ribosomal RNA, 443 nt
Filed under: uncultured bacterium
Lineage: Bacteria
Description: partial 16S ribosomal RNA
Rfam family: Bacterial small subunit ribosomal RNA
Source: RNAcentral
CCUACGGGCGGCAGCAGUGGGGAAUAUUGGGCAAUGGGCGCAAGCCUGACCCAGCAACGCCGCGUGAAGGAAGAAGGCUUUCGGGUUGUAAACUUCUUUUCUUAGGGACGAAGAAAGUGACGGUACUUGAGGAAUAAGCCACGGCUAAAUACGUGCCAGCAGCCGCGGGAAUACGUAGGUGGCAAGCGUUAUCCGGAUUUAUUGGGUGUAAAGGGCGUGUAGGCGGGAGCGCAAGUCAGAUGUGAAAACUCAGGGCUCAACCCUGAGCCUGCAUUUGAAACUGUGUUUCUUGAGUGCUGGAGAGGCAAUCGGAAUUCGGGGUGUAGCGGUGAAAUGCGUAGAUAUACGGAGGAACACCAGUGGCGAAGGCGGAUUGCUGGACAGUAACUGACGCUGAGGCGCGAAAGCGUGGGGAGCGAACAGGAUUAGAUACCCCUGUAGUC